CCAGACUCCUACGGGAGGCAGCAGUGGGGGAUAUUGCACAAUGGGGGGAACCCUGAUGCAGCGACGCCGCGUGGGUGAAGAAGCGCCUCGGCGCGUAAAGCCCUGUCAGCAGGGAAGAAAAUGACGGUACCUGAAGAAGAAGCCCCGGCUAACUACGUGCCAGCAGCCGCGGUAAUACGUAGGGGGCAAGCGUUAUCCGGAUUUACUGGGUGUAAAGGGGGCGCAGACGGCGAUGCAAGCCAGGAGUGAGAGCCCGGGGCCCAACCCCGGGACUGCUCUUGGAACUGCGUGGCUGGAGUGCGGGAGGGGCAGGCGGAAUUCCUGGUGUAGCGGUGAAAUGCGUAGAUAUCAGGAGGAACACCGGUGGCGAAGGCGGCCUGCUGGACUGCAACUGACGUUGAGGCCCGAAAGCGUGGGGAGCAAACAGGAUUAGAUACCCGGGUAAAA
Molecule: ribosomal RNA, 447 nt
Filed under: uncultured bacterium
Lineage: Bacteria
Description: bacterial SSU rRNA
Rfam family: Bacterial small subunit ribosomal RNA
Source: RNAcentral